RNAcentral lists this transfer RNA (53 nucleotides) under Echinorhynchus truttae. Its description in RNAcentral is "transfer RNA-Tyr". The record is from RNAcentral. Lineage: Eukaryota; Metazoa; Acanthocephala; Palaeacanthocephala; Echinorhynchida; Echinorhynchidae.
GGCUUGUUAGUUUAAGUGAAUAGUUUAUUGUAAAUAAACAGGGGGUUGAGCUA